UACGAGGGGGGCAAGCGUUGUUCGGAAUUACUGGGCGUAAAGGGUUCGUAGGUGGCCUACUAAGUCAGACGUGAAAUCCCUCAGCUUAACUUGGGAACUGCGUCUGAUACUGGGAGGCUUGAGUGCGGGAGAGGGAUGUGGAAUUCCAGGUGUAGUGGUGGAAUGCGUAGAGAUCCGGAGGAACACCAGUGGCGAAGGCGACUACCUGGCCUGUUCUUGACGCUGAGGCGCGAAAGCUAGGGGAGCAAACGGG
This 253-nucleotide ribosomal RNA is filed under the name uncultured bacterium. Its description in RNAcentral is "partial 16S ribosomal RNA". It matches the Rfam family "Bacterial small subunit ribosomal RNA", at positions 524 to 776 of the family's 1533-position model. The record is from RNAcentral.